AAAAAAUUGCAAUGGCUACACAGGGGUAGCGUCGGCACUGAUUUGCCGUCGCCAAUGGUUCAAUAUUUGCUUCGGCGAAAUAUGCGGUGGCCAAAAUUACUUCGGCAAAACAUGCCGUCGCCAAUAGUCCAGUAUUCGCUUAGGUAAAACGUACCGUCGCCCAAAAUUGAUUCAGCAAUAUAAGGUCGUCGCAGUAAUUGCGACUGCCAGUGGUUUCCGUCGCCAUGUCCUCCUUUACUUUGCAUUAAGCACCAGCCCUAGAGAUCAUAUUUGACAAGAAAAAAAAAAAUAGACAUCGUCAAGUCCUCUCUUUCUCUUCUCGCCACCACCAGGAUCUCUCUCACUGUCGCUGCCGUCGUCACUUUGUGGUCAAUUUGAGAUCUGAAUAUUUUUCUAUUCAGUGGUAUUUCAGAGGUCCUGAGCUUCAUGUUGAUUUACAAGAUUAUGACUAUUCUUUGGACGUACUUGUGGAGUAUUUGUUGUAUGUUUGCUGGAAUGUCUGAGCAACUAGUUGCGACUUCACUUGCUCACUUGGUUGAGUCUGCAUCAUUUACUGGAUCUGGAAACCCAACUACAAAGUUUCAACAGGCAAAGAAUCAUGAACCCUUAA
Rosa rugosa (rugosa rose) is the source of this 610-nucleotide long non-coding RNA. RefSeq lists it as uncharacterized. The transcript has 3 exons. Lineage: Eukaryota; Viridiplantae; Streptophyta; Magnoliopsida; Rosales; Rosaceae. The record is from RefSeq and is a predicted model, not a curated record.